This 327-nucleotide ribosomal RNA is filed under the name uncultured eukaryote. RNAcentral's name for it is "partial 18S ribosomal RNA". It matches the Rfam family "Eukaryotic small subunit ribosomal RNA", at positions 1470 to 1796 of the family's 1831-position model. The record is from RNAcentral.
CCCUUAGAUGUUCUGGGCCGCACGCGCGCUACACUGAUGAAUGCAACGAGCUCUACCCUUGACCGAAGGGCCCGGGUAAACUUGUGAAACUUCAUCGUGAUGGGGAUAGAUUAUUGCAAUUAUUAAUCUUCAACGAGGAAUUCCUAGUAAGCGCGAGUCAUCAGCUCGCGUUGAUUACGUCCCUGCCCUUUGUACACACCGCCCGUCGCUCCUACCGAUUGAAUGGUCCGGUGAAAUCUUCGGAUUGCUGACCAAGAUCCAGCAAUGGAGCUUGGUUGCGAGAAGUUGAUUAAACCUUAUUAUUUAGAGGAAGGAGAAGUCGUAACA